This 1223-nucleotide long non-coding RNA is filed under the name Scleropages formosus (Asian bonytongue). RNAcentral describes it as "lncRNA (ENSSFOG00015030192.1)". The record is from RNAcentral. Lineage: Eukaryota; Metazoa; Chordata; Actinopteri; Osteoglossiformes; Osteoglossidae.
CUCAGGGAUGUAAAGGGAAGAAGGGGGAACUGGGGGAGGCUGCUACACGCAGAAAUAAAACGGGAUUAGGGGAAGGAGAAGCAGAAGGUUGCAAACAUCGAAAGCUGCCAAGCUCACGUUCAUCGUCAGUUUCUGGCAACUCAUCAAACCAGCGGAUCCAACGUUCCUCAUCUUGUUCUUGACCGACACCCACAAGCACCAGACGUGAGCUGUAAACACUGUGGAAGUCAGAAGAAUUAAGGCGGUCCUGGCCCCUACUGGAACGGGCCGAGAGAACCGGGACGGCGGGACCCAAGUGCGGAGUCGUUCGUCUGGAUUCAGGGGAUAAGGCAAAGUUCUCGGAGUCGGGGACAGGCGACUGGUCGGUCGAUCGGCGGUCGGAGUCAGAGUGAGGAUCCAUGGAUGAGUAUUUCCACAAGUCUUCACUUCCACAUUCAAAGCUAUUGUGAGAAGAUGCUGGUGCAGACAAUUACACCCUCGGUACACUCUCACGCGCACACGCAGCAGCGUCCGGCUGAUGACAAUGGCAACGGUCAGCAGAAGAUUUGGGCGGCGAUUGCGAGAGCAAGCAGAGAGUGUGAAGAGAUUGAAAAUGAGGGAUGCAGCUUGGAGGCAGGGGGCACAAGAACAGAGCAGAUACCGUGGCGCAGGCAAAGUGCGGGGGCUUCCAAACGCAUAAUCUCUUCCACUAAUUGUGUCUCCCCCGACCACCAGGAAUUGUGACGUUUCAGCUCUGUGUUUAUCGACGAGCACAAGAAGCUAAUUAAUAUGGUAAUUCCCACACCCUUCACUACCCACCAUAUUUUACCAGCAGUUACAUCAACUUUGGUGGAGGUCAGUGUGUCAUGAUGCAGGUACCCAAAAUGAGGGACAUAAGCUUUUGUGACAUUAUUACCUGGUCACAUAGUACACUAUGGUAGGGGUACAUAGUGGUGGACUGAGACCCCUGUGAACAUCCACAGUUCUAUUGUCCGUUGAGUCCUCAUCAGUUAUCCUUCUCCCGCUCCAGGACGACUGGUACCGUGGUCAGGGCUGCUGCCUAUGCACCUAAAGGUUGCAGGUUUGACUCUCACCUCUGGCUGCAGUACCCUAGGUACUCACCCUAAAUUGCUCCAGUAAAAAUGCCCAGCUUUGUAAAUGAGUAAAUAAUUGUUAAAAAAAAAAGAAAAAAAAAAAAAAGGCUUAACACUGUAAGAUGCUUUGGAGAAAAGCAUCAGCUAAAU